RNAcentral lists this ribosomal RNA (484 nucleotides) under uncultured bacterium. RNAcentral describes it as "partial 16S ribosomal RNA". It matches the Rfam family "Bacterial small subunit ribosomal RNA", at positions 29 to 523 of the family's 1533-position model. The record is from RNAcentral.
AGUGAACGCUGGCGGCGUGCUUAACACAUGCAAGUCGAACGAGAACGGGUUAUAGCUUGCUAUAAUUGUCAGCUAAGUGGCGCACGGGUGAGUAAUGUAUAGGUAAUAUGCCUCUUACUAAGGGAUAACAAUUGGAAACGAUUGCUAAUACCUUAUACUCCUUAUUAACUAAAGUUAGUAAGGGAAAGAUUUAUUGGUAAGAGAUUAGCCUGUAUUGUAUCAGUUAGUUGGUGGGGUAAUGGCCUACCAAGACUAUGACGCAUAACUGGUUUGAGAGGAUGAUCAGUCACACUGGAACUGAGACACGGUCCAGACUCCUACGGGAGGCAGCAGUGGGGAAUAUUGCACAAUGGACGAAAGUCUGAUGCAGCAACGCCGCGUGGAGGAUGACACAUUUCGGUGCGUAAACUCCUUUUAUAUAAGAAGAUAAUGACGGUAUUAUAUGAAUAAGCACCGACUAACUCCGUGCCAGCCGCCGCCGUAA